This 253-nucleotide ribosomal RNA is filed under the name uncultured bacterium. RNAcentral's name for it is "partial 16S ribosomal RNA". It matches the Rfam family "Bacterial small subunit ribosomal RNA", at positions 524 to 776 of the family's 1533-position model. The record is from RNAcentral.
UACGUAGGGUGCGAGCGUUGUCCGGAAUUAUUGGGCGUAAAGGGCUCGUAGGCGGUCUGUUGCGUCAGGAGUGAAAACUCGGGGCUUAACCCCGAGCCUGCUUCUGAUACGGGCAGACUAGAGGUAUGCAGGGGAGAACGGAAUUCCUGGUGUAGCGGUGAAAUGCGCAGAUAUCAGGAGGAACACCGGUGGCGAAGGCGGUUCUCUGGGCAUCACCUGACGCUGAGGAGCGAAAGCGUGGGGAGCGAACAGG